Molecule: long non-coding RNA, 559 nt
Filed under: Phoenix dactylifera (date palm)
Lineage: Eukaryota; Viridiplantae; Streptophyta; Magnoliopsida; Arecales; Arecaceae
Description: long non-coding RNA (PDAC_LNC000402)
Source: RNAcentral
GGGGGCCGAGAUCAAGGGCCUUCUUGGCCCAGGCGGUGGAGAGCUCCAGAAGGCGGAGGAUGGCUGGGGUGCGGGCAGCGGCGAGGGUCGGGGAUCUCGGCGAGGGUCGGGGAGGAGCGCAGGAGGAAGAGGCCGUAGAGGGUCUCGCCGGCGAUGAGGUAGGACUUGAGGAUCCGCGGUUCGAGGGAGAGGGGGGCGAAGUCGGGAUCCAAGGAGGCGGCGAAGAGGCGGGCGAAGAUAUCAUCGCCGGAGCCGUUCUGCUUCUUGAAUCUGGAGGGGGUUAGGGAGGGGGGGCGAUGAUGAUGAGAGAGAGAGAGAGAGAGAAGACGAGGAAUGGGGAUGAUGAUCCCCUCUUAAAAAACUCUGGAAUGGGUUGAGGGUGGAGGGCGGUGGCCGGGAAAACGGAAAGAGAGAGAGGGCUCGUUUCCGAUGACGCUUUUUAGCGUCGUCUUAUCCGGCGACUACACCGACGCUUAUUAGCGUCGUCCUUUGCCGACCAAAUACUGCCGACGCUUGUGGAAAGCGUCGUCAAAAAAGCGUCGGUAAAACCGACUUUUUC